Paramuricea clavata is the source of this 130-nucleotide non-coding RNA. The record is from the annotation of a GenBank genome assembly. NCBI's taxonomy places the organism in Eukaryota, Metazoa, Cnidaria, Anthozoa, Malacalcyonacea, Plexauridae.
GCCUGCGUAGCAGUCGCUUUAUUUUUUGAAGGUUUUGGGAAUAUCUCAAUAUUGAGGAUUUUUUUAAUAAAUGGCGGGAUAGAAAAAAAACCUCAACACCUUCAAAAAAUAAAGCGACUGCUACGCAGGC